RNAcentral lists this unclassified non-coding RNA (514 nucleotides) under Brachyloma daphnoides. RNAcentral's name for it is "partial miscellaneous RNA". Lineage: Eukaryota; Viridiplantae; Streptophyta; Magnoliopsida; Ericales; Ericaceae. The record is from RNAcentral.
GUUGUAAAACGACGUUAUGCAUGAACGUAAUGCUCAUAACUUCCCUCUAGACCUAGCUGCUAUUGAAGUUCCAUCUACAACUGGAUAAUACUUUGGUCCUAGUCUAUUGGAUAAUACUUUGGUCCUAGUCUAUACGAAUUUUUGAAAGUAAGGGAGCAAUCACCUAUUGUUCUAUCAAAAGUACAUUGCUCCUUUACUUUUCUUUUUUUAUUACGACUAGAGUCUUCUUUUCUGUACAGAUCGUUUUUUUGUUACAAGAAAAAGAUUUUCAUGCUUUGGUUCAUGAUUGAGUCUCCUUUUUUAUUUUCGUUUUGUAUUCCUUUUGUAUUGAGAUACCUUUGUUUUGUGAAAUUUUUAUUUUCCAUUCAAAAGAAAAGAGAAAAUUUGCUUAAGACUUCAAAUUUAUAUCUCCGAAAUAAGAAAUAAAUAAUCAGGAAUUUUUGAAAUUGAAAUCUUAAGGGGCGGAUGUAGCCAAGUGGAAUAAGGCAGUGGAUUGUGAAUCCACCAUGCGCGC